GAUGAACGCUGGCGGCGUGCCUAAUACAUGCAAGUCGAGCGAACGGACGAGAGGCUUGCUUCUCUGAUGUUAGCGGCGGACGGAUGAGUAACACGUGGAUAACCUACCUAUAAUACUGGGAUAACUUCGGGAAACCGGAGCUAAUACCGGAUAAUAUUUUGAACCGCAUGGUUCAAAAGUGAAAGACGGUCUUGCUGUCACUUAUAGAUGUAUCCGCGCUGCAUUAGCUAUUUGGUAAGGUAACGGCUUACCAAGGCAACGAUGCAUAGCCGACCUGAGAGGGUGAUCGGCCACACUGGAACUGAGACACGGUCCAGACUCCUACGGGAGGCAGCAGUAGCGAAUCUUCCGCAAUGGGCGAAAGCCUGACGGAGCAACGCCGCGUGAGUGAUGAAGGUCUUCGGAUCGUAAAACUCUGUUAUUAGGGAAGAACAUAUGUGUAAGUAACUGUGCACAUCUUGACGGUACCUAAUCAGAAAGCCACGGCUAACUACGUG
RNAcentral lists this ribosomal RNA (497 nucleotides) under uncultured bacterium. RNAcentral describes it as "partial 16S ribosomal RNA". It matches the Rfam family "Bacterial small subunit ribosomal RNA", at positions 28 to 507 of the family's 1533-position model. The record is from RNAcentral.